RNAcentral lists this long non-coding RNA (204 nucleotides) under Manihot esculenta (cassava). Its description in RNAcentral is "long non-coding RNA (MESC_LNC006028)". The record is from RNAcentral. Lineage: Eukaryota; Viridiplantae; Streptophyta; Magnoliopsida; Malpighiales; Euphorbiaceae.
CCUGUUUUCUUCUUCUUUUUUGUUCUUUUUAAUAAAAGCAACGUAAGUUAUGGCAAAUAACAAAUUUGAUGAUAAUAACAUUUACUUUAUUCACAUGCCUCGAAAUACAACCGUUCCCCUUACAUUUGGUAACAUUUUAAGGGAAGUACCUUUUUAAAUGUUGGAUGUUCCAAGCGUGAGGCUCAGGGUUUCCUUGCAUGUCCU